RNAcentral lists this non-coding RNA (137 nucleotides) under uncultured Siminovitchia sp. RNAcentral describes it as "FMN riboswitch (RFN element)". It matches the Rfam family "FMN riboswitch aptamer (RFN element)". From Rfam's summary of the family: The RFN element is a highly conserved domain that is found frequently in the 5'-untranslated regions of prokaryotic mRNAs that encode for flavin mononucleotide (FMN) biosynthesis and transport proteins. This element is a metabolite-dependent riboswitch that directly binds FMN in the absence of proteins. The record is from RNAcentral. Lineage: Bacteria; Bacillati; Bacillota; Bacilli; Caryophanales; Bacillaceae.
UUCCUUCGGGGCAGGGUGAAAAUCCCGACCGGCGGUGAUGAGACUAUGUCUCUUAGUCCGUGACCCGGUUCGAUAUCGAGCCGGUGGAUUUGGUGCAAUUCCAAAGCCGACAGUGAAAGUCUGGAUGGGAGAAGGAA